ACACGACUACAUUAGAUACCCCGGUAGUCCCAGCCGUAAACAAUGUGCGUUAGGUGUGUCGGUAACCACGUGUUACUGAUGCGCCGAAGAGAAAUCGUGAAACGCACCACCUGGGAAGUACGGUCGCAAGGCUGAAACUUAAAGGAAUUGGCGGGGAGCACCACAACGGGUGGAGCCUGCGGUUUAAUUGGACUCAACGCCGGGAAGCUCACCGGAUAAGACAGCGGAAUGAUUGCCGGGCUGAAGACUCUGCAUGACUAGCUG
RNAcentral lists this ribosomal RNA (264 nucleotides) under uncultured archaeon. Its description in RNAcentral is "partial 16S ribosomal RNA". It matches the Rfam family "Archaeal small subunit ribosomal RNA", at positions 717 to 982 of the family's 1478-position model. The record is from RNAcentral.